UCGCAUCCGCCAAUCGGUACAGCCGUGUCGCGGAAGGUUCCACAAACCAGCUAAUGCCUCCUUCAGGGAGGCUGAGGUCAGCG
Molecule: regulatory RNA element, 83 nt
Organism: Delftia acidovorans SPH-1
Lineage: Bacteria; Pseudomonadati; Pseudomonadota; Betaproteobacteria; Burkholderiales; Comamonadaceae
Rfam family: SucA RNA motif
Source: Rfam